Long non-coding RNA from Parus major (Great Tit), 2115 nucleotides. RefSeq lists it as uncharacterized. The record is from RefSeq and is a predicted model, not a curated record. NCBI's taxonomy places the organism in Eukaryota, Metazoa, Chordata, Aves, Passeriformes, Paridae. The transcript is spliced from 3 exons.
UGCAUAUGAUGAUUAAUUUGCAUAUGAUGAUUACUUUUGUAUCCUUGCUUGCAAGUAACUUGAUCUCCCUGUCUCACUUACUCCAGCUUUGUGCUGCCAUGGCUUUGCCUUCCUCAGCUCCUUUUGGUUGUCCAUGAUUCCCCAGGAACUGGUCUUCACCCAUACCUGCUCACAGCUGUGAGCACACCUGUGGGCUCAAGGACCCUGAUUGUUACAGGGUAAUGUUUGUGUGCACAUGUCUGCGUGUUGUCAUCUCGGGUUAUGUGUGUGUCACCUCUCCAGCCACAAAAGAAGUCCCUGUUGCAUGAUACUGCAGUUUGUCUGCUUAUCUUGGGAAAAGUUUCUGUGGUUUUCAGUGCCAACCACUGAGGCAAAGACACGAAUCAGUGCUCUUGCCUGAUUGACACUCAGACAGCUGCCAAGAAUACUUGGAAUUCACUAUAAAAUAACAGAGUGGCUCCCUUGCCAUCAUGUCAGUGUCAUUUUGCAACUGCAGGAAAUGAGGUUUGCCAAGAAAGGCCAAAUGGACCUUGAAGUCAAGUACCAGGCUGCAUAGUGCUUCUUGCCACAAGCAUUUCCAAGAAGAGAUCAUCUUCCAGGCAUGUAACAGCCAUGGCUAGUGACUCUGGAAGCUUAUCCCAGCAGUGUCAUUACCCUGAACAUACUAUUGAUGGGCACUGGAAUCAAACUCUUUAAAUCUGUGCUGUGCAGAAAUGACUUGUCACCUAGGAGAGGGAGGUAUUGAAUUCUGUAUGCUUCAAGGGAGUUUAUCUGGAAAUGAAAAAAUAUUUUUACCCCUGAAAAGUUUCCUUAUUUAAUCACUGGUUUCUUUGGAGUGCCAGACAGCUGAAAGGGAAGGGAAUAAAACUGAUUGGGAGUUGACAAAUGCCUCUGAAGACAGUUAUCUGGUGCCUGUGUCUGUUAGCAGGAAGGGCUGCUGUAGCUCUAGGGGGGUUUUACAGUGUUUCAGAGUGCAGACUCUUUGCCAGCUAUUCUAAUAUUUAGGCUCUGUUUGAGCUUCUUUGUCCCUGCCUGUCCUGUAAUAACAAGGACAAAUGGGAGAUGGAAGCUUUACACUGUCCUCCUGUGGUUCUGCAGAGCUGCUGUGGAAAGGCCAGACAUCUGAAUAUUCCAAAGCAAGGCCAAUAAUUGCAUGAGGCAUUAGAAUGGCAAAUACUGCAGCCAGCCAGGGCAGCCCAUUGCUAUUGACAGUUGUCACAGGGCGAGUCUUCCCAGCUUCAGGAGGGGACUGAGCAGUUGCAGAAUGGAUUGCUGAGUGCUCUAUUAAAAGCUUCUAGGAAAAUGACGUCAGGAGUCGUCAGCAAUUAAUCUGGAACAUCGAUUCCAAGAAUAAUGUUUAUCUGAAAAAUAGUGAAUCAAAUCCUACAGUUCUAGCUGGGCCUACUAUGAGUAAAUUAGAUCAGUUUAUUUUUGUAUGAGUCAUUAAUCAUAUUGCAGUCAUCACUGUGGUUAUCUGAAAGUAUUUUAAUUUAAUCAAAAUGCAGUUGAAACUCAUAUAAACAAAUUUGGCCUAAGAUGGGCAGCCACACACACAGAGCAGUCUUUCCCAGUGUGGGAUAAGGAAUUAAACACCAAAACAGAUCUUUCUACAGAGAUCUGACUAUGGAUUUUUGCAUUACUAGAUUUUCAGCAUGCACUUUCCAACACUUUGCUUUCUGUACUGACUUCCAGAUAAAAGAGAACAAUGUGCUGUGCUCUGAAGCUUUUGUCAUGGUGUUCAAGCUUGUACAGGCCAUCUGCUGUGGAGUAAUGUAGCUGCUACAGUACAUUGCUUUCCUAACAUAUGUGUAACCUGACAGCUGGUGAGUGUGAGCCCUCUGGAUUCAGCAGGAAUUCGCUCGGAUGUGUAGUUACUCUGUGUACAUAAAACCUUGUGUAAAACAAUACCAACUCCUAGGUCACAGACCACAAAAGCCUUGUAGCUGGCACAGAUACAGGUAGCUUCUGCCCCAAACUUUUGCUUGGAGCAGAGGAAUGGAUUCCAGGAUGAAUUCAGACCCUGAUGCUCAGAGCUUUGUCCAGCCAGAAUCUGAAAACCUUCAAAGAUCCCACAGCCUCUUCUGGCUCCUGCUAUAGUGCAUAAUUAUUCUAAUU